Molecule: long non-coding RNA, 692 nt
Organism: Papaver somniferum (opium poppy)
Lineage: Eukaryota; Viridiplantae; Streptophyta; Magnoliopsida; Ranunculales; Papaveraceae
Exons: 3
Source: RefSeq, a predicted model, not a curated record
UCUCACGCUCGCUCUGCUCUAUCACAUAAUACCACUUCUGCAGCUCCCUGCGAAUAAUCAAACCACUUCUGCAGCUCCCUGCGAACAAUCAAACCAGCGUCGCAACCGCAAACCACCAAAAGGUUUCGAAAUUUGUUGGAUGAUUCGGAGUGGUGUUUAGUGAGAGAUAAUACUGAACGUUUGAAUUGUUGCAAGCAGCAGCAGGUUAGGUACUCUCAAUUUCCUCAAAUGGCUAGUAUCCAUGAUGAGCCGGAAAUUUCUCCCAAGGAAGCCACUAGUGCCAAUAAGGAAGCUAAUGGAGUGGAGGUGUGUUACUAGCUAAUUCAUCAGCUUUGAUUAUUUACAGGGUAAAACUGUUUGAAAAUGUUUAAAGUCCAUUCCCUGUUGCCUCGUGAAGGAAAGGUAGUUAUGCACCAGUCUUCUCUCAUUUGGCAGAAGUCUGCUCUAGUUUCUUUUUUGUCCCAUUCAAAUUCUUUUGUACAUACUGUAAUCUGGAUAUUUCUAACGCAGAGAGUCCGUUUUGGUUCAUUAUCAGUAUUCAAUUCAGUCUCGUGUUUAACUAUUUUCUACCGAAUGUAUGCAUCACAUGCUUUUGUGAUUGGCGUAAGGAUGGAUCUUAAUCCAUCACAAACUGUUAUUGGUUGCGGUCCUUGAUCUUUAACGUUACAAUAUUUUACAUACAUCUUUAAAUA